RNAcentral lists this ribosomal RNA (812 nucleotides) under uncultured bacterium. RNAcentral's name for it is "bacterial SSU rRNA". It matches the Rfam family "Bacterial small subunit ribosomal RNA", at positions 77 to 878 of the family's 1533-position model. The record is from RNAcentral.
UCUUCGGGGAUGAUUAAACCGGCGCACGGGUGAGUAACACGUGAGUGACCUGCCUUUUAGACUGGAACAACUUACCGAAAGGUGAGCUAAUGCCGGAUGAGUUAUAUAAGUGCAUGUUUAUAUAGGAAAAGUUGGGGAGACCUGACGCUGAAAGAUGGACUCGCGUCCCAUUAGCUAGUUGGUAGGGUAAUGGCCUACCAAGGCGACGAUGGGUAGCCGGCCUGAGAGGGUGGCCGGCCACACUGGGACUGAGACACGGCCCAGACUCCUACGGGAGGCAGCAGUGGGGAAUUUUGCGCAAUGCUCGUAAGAGUGACGCAGCGACGCCGCGUGAAUGACGAAGGCCUUCGGGUCGUAAAGUUCUUUCGACAGGGAAGAAAAUGCCUAUAAGUAACUGUGUAUGUAUUGACGGUACCUGUAUAAGCAGCCCCGGCUAACUCCGUGCCAGCAGCCGCGGUAAUACGGAGGGGGCGAGCGUUGUUCGGAGUGACUGGGCGUAAAGAGCACGUAGGCGGUGUUGUAAGUCAUUAGUCAAAGACUAGAGCUCAACUUUAGUAAGGCUAGUGAUACUAUAAUACUAGAGUAUCAGAGAGGAUUGCAGAAUUCCUGGUGUAGCGGUGAAAUGCGUAGAUAUCAGGAGGAAUACCGUUAGCGAAGGCGGCAAUCUGGCUGGAAACUGACGCUGAGGUGCGAAAGCGUGGGUAGCAAACAGGAUUAGAUACCCUGGUAGUCCACGCUGUAAACGAUGGAUGCCAGGUGUUGGGCUUUUAAGUUCAGUGCCGCAGCAAACGCGAUAAGCAUCCCGCCUGGGG